Molecule: long non-coding RNA, 227 nt
Filed under: Mytilus galloprovincialis (Mediterranean mussel)
Lineage: Eukaryota; Metazoa; Mollusca; Bivalvia; Mytilida; Mytilidae
Source: RNAcentral
GUCUUACUUUAAUUUAAACCAUGUCAGCUAUCUAGUUUUAUCUACAAAAAAGAGCCAGUUUUGUAUUCUUUGAUAUCAAGUUCAAUUCUCCAUGCAGAAACGACAAUUUUUUUUUUAUGUCCAGUAGCAUCGUAUAUUCUUAAAAUAGUUUCUCGUACAAUGUCUGGACAUCGGUGGACUUGCAACAUUGCAAAAUCACACCUUACAAAUGAAAAUCAACACUAUGC